RNAcentral lists this non-coding RNA (261 nucleotides) under Lentilactobacillus curieae. Its description in RNAcentral is "Lactobacillus curieae T-box sequence". It matches the Rfam family "T-box leader". From Rfam's summary of the family: Uncharged tRNA acts as the effector for transcription antitermination of genes in the T-box leader family. T-boxes are found upstream of many aminoacyl-tRNA synthetase genes and some amino acid biosynthetic genes usually in Gram-positive bacteria. Lineage: Bacteria; Bacillati; Bacillota; Bacilli; Lactobacillales; Lactobacillaceae. The record is from RNAcentral.
AAAAAGGUUAUGAGUAGAAUAGUAGUUUUGCUUUUGGAUCACAGAAAGUCGCCGGGAGAUGAGAUGGCACACCAGAAGUUUAACGAAACACAUCUACGAACCAAUUAGCUGAAGUGUCUAGUAGGCUAAUUCGCAUGUUUAGCGUUAUCAGGGUUACUGCAACUGUUCUCCGAAAGGACGACUAGUUGUUAGCAACGUAAGGUCAACUAUCGUGAGGUAGCUGACAAAUUGAGGUGGAACCGCGAUUAACUCGUCCUCGAA